GUAGUCCACGCCCUAAACGAUGAAUACUAGUUGUCGGGAUCCCUAAUAGUCUCGGUAACGCAGCUAACGCAUUAAGUAUUCCGCCUGGGGAUUACGGUCGCAAGAUUAAAACUCAAAGGAAUUGACGGGGGCCCGCACAAGCGGUGGAGCAUGUGGUUUAAUUCGAUGCUACGCGAAAAACCUUACCUGGACUUGACAUGCCACGCUACCCUAAGAAAUUAGGGGUUCUCUUCGGAGACGUGGACACAGGUGCUGCAUGGCUGUCGUCAGCUCGUGUUGUGAGAUGUUGGGUUAAGUCCCGCAACGAGCGCAACCCUCGUCGUUAGUUACCAUCAUUAAGUUGGGCACUCUAACGAGACCGCUAGGCUAUAAGCCAGA
RNAcentral lists this ribosomal RNA (378 nucleotides) under uncultured bacterium. Its description in RNAcentral is "bacterial SSU rRNA". It matches the Rfam family "Bacterial small subunit ribosomal RNA", at positions 790 to 1167 of the family's 1533-position model. The record is from RNAcentral.